This is a long non-coding RNA of Venturia canescens, 631 nucleotides long. RefSeq lists it as uncharacterized. NCBI's taxonomy places the organism in Eukaryota, Metazoa, Arthropoda, Insecta, Hymenoptera, Ichneumonidae. The record is from RefSeq and is a predicted model, not a curated record. The transcript is spliced from 3 exons.
GCUGAGCUACCCGUGAAUACUUUUACCCUCUCGUAUUACGAACUACUUACGUUCUAACUCAACACUUCUAUUUUUACUUUCACUCCCGUUUUUCUUCAUUAAAAUGCUUCUUUAUUGUUGCAAAAAAGUUUAGCAACGCCGCGCUCGGAACGCUAUUUCGAUGAACGCUUACUUCGAUCGCUUGUGCGUCUCCACCAAAAUCUUGUGCUCUCCAAAGUGUGCUCGUCAUCAUACAAAGUUCGCUAAAUCGAAUGGCGACGAAGGCAAAUUACGAAACACUGCGUAUUCGGGGGAAAUCCGAACGUGGCUUCGACACUCCGAAAUCGAUUGUCGAGGUUUCGUCGGAAGAUUUCGUCGAGAAAAUGUCCCGAGGAAAAAAGGGAGAACCAGCAAUGAAGAAAACCGAGAGCAAAAGAUGACGAGCGUUACGCGCAUUUCCUGCUUUGUUUUCAAGUUUACUGAAAUCCUCGAUGCGGCACGAAGAAGAAAGAUCAAGAAAAGAGAGUAUCUCGUAAUGAGAAUACUUUCAUUGUUGUUCACAUUCUGCGUGCAAUCCUUCCAAGCGCAGCAUACUUUUGCUGUGCCUGAGAUAUUGGAGAAAAAAUCGAAAUAAUAAAAGAAAUAAAAAGUC